This 1108-nucleotide long non-coding RNA is filed under the name Nannospalax galili (Upper Galilee mountains blind mole rat). RNAcentral describes it as "lncRNA (ENSNGAG00000024407.1)". The record is from RNAcentral. Lineage: Eukaryota; Metazoa; Chordata; Mammalia; Rodentia; Spalacidae.
AUGUUACACAUCUCACACUAUUCUGUGCUUUUCUUUGUGGGACUGGGGGGCGAAGUCCAGGUUUUGUGUUUAUUUGAAACUGUGGCUAAUAAUAAUAAUAAUAAUAAUGCAGAUAUGCUAUUAAAUAUAUUACACUGCCUAAAACUGUGUCAUUAUAUGAAGGUAGUUCUUGCAUAUUUUUGUAAAACCUACUGAUUCUUACAAAAACACCGGAAUGUUUAAGAACCCCUAGUUUGCUUCUAUCAUCAGGAUUACUUUACUGUUAACAAGACUGUGAUCAUCAGAUGACUGCAAUGGGUUGACUGUUCCUGUACCAGCAUCUACUACGUGGGCAAACACUGAACAAAAACAAGGUGUUGGCUAUAUUUUCAUUUUAAUCACAAUCAUCUCGAUUAGGGGUUCACAUCACUCUGGGAUGGUUGUCAUUGCUUUAUUUCACUAAAACUAUAGUGAUCUUGUCUCCACGUUUUGACCACAAAGAUAUUACCAGCAUAUCAUUAUUAAAAAUUUAUUGUAGACAUUGCCUCAAAGAAAGUUACCUGGAUUGUAUCUCCACCCACUGGGGGGCCACUAGGUGAAUGACUAUUUAGUUAAGAUUCCUAUGUAUUCCUAUGUAUUCACUUGUAUUUUCAUCACAAUAUUUAUAAUCCUGGGUUUGAGACCCAAAUAUAUUUAUAGUAAUUGAAGUUCUAUAAGUAUUCUUGUUAUAACCCAGCAUCGAUAUGCUAUGCAUCUACAAAACAGAUUGACUAUAUAUGCAUUUGUUCAUGUAUAUUUUAAAAAUAAACCACAGAAAUGAAUAAAGUACUCUACACAAUAAAGUUUCACAGUUUGACUUUCCAUAAGGCUUAUGAAAUAAUAUGUAAAUAGCUACCAUUCUGCUGAAAUGUCACAGUAAAUACAUUAAUAAUGGCACAGAAGUGAAAUGUCUCCAAAUAGGAAGCCAUAUUUAUGAUCUCCUAAGUCUCUUUUCCAACUAAAUUUUUGCCUUUUUUUAGUUGAAAAAGAGUUCCAUUUCUGAAAGAAUAUAAAAAUAGAAAAUGAGUCAAAGAAUCUUUUACACAUAAUUUUGAAGGACAAGCUAUAAACAUCAGAUGACAUAUUAUAU